RNAcentral lists this ribosomal RNA (136 nucleotides) under uncultured eukaryote. RNAcentral's name for it is "partial 18S ribosomal RNA". It matches the Rfam family "Eukaryotic small subunit ribosomal RNA", at positions 1299 to 1458 of the family's 1831-position model. The record is from RNAcentral.
UGGUGGAGUGAUUUGUCAGGUUAAUUCCCUAAACGAACGAGAUCUUCACUUGCUAACUAGUCGUGGUUAAUUUCUAGCCAUUGACUUCUUAGAAGGACUACGAUUUCUAAAGUCGUGGAAGUUGAAGGCAAUAACA